GACGAACGCUGGCGGCGUGCUUAACACAUGCAAGUCGAACGGAAAGGCCCUGCUUUUGUGGGGUGCUCGAGUGGCGAACGGGUGAGUAACACGUGAGUAACCUGCCCUUGACUUUGGGAUAACUUCAGGAAACUGGGGCUAAUACCGGAUAGGAGCUCCUGCUGCAUGGUGGGGGUUGGAAAGUUUCGGCGGUUGGGGAUGGACUCGCGGCUUAUCAGCUUGUUGGUGGGGUAGUGGCUUACCCAGGCUUUGACGGGUAGUCGGCCUGAGAGGGGGAACGGCCACAUUGGGACUGAGGUACGGCCCAGACUCCUACGGGAGGCAGCAGUGGGGAAUAUUGCACAAUGGGCGGAAGCCUGAUGCAGCAACGCCGCGUGCGGGAUGACGGCCUUCGGGUGGUAAACCGCUUUCGCCUGUGACGAAGCGUGAGUGACGGUAAUGGGUAAAGAAGCACCGGCUAACUACGUG
This 468-nucleotide ribosomal RNA is filed under the name uncultured bacterium. RNAcentral describes it as "partial 16S ribosomal RNA". It matches the Rfam family "Bacterial small subunit ribosomal RNA", at positions 28 to 507 of the family's 1533-position model. The record is from RNAcentral.